GAUGAACGCUGGCGGCGUGCCUAAUACAUGCAAGUCGAGCGAAUGGAUUAAGAGCUUGCUCUUAUGAAGUUAGCGGCGGACGGGUGAGUAACACGUGGGUAACCUGCCCAUAAGACUGGGAUAACUCCGGGAAACCGGGGCUAAUACCGGAUAACAUUUUGAACCGCAUGGUUCGAAAUUGAAAGGCGGAUUCGGCUGUCACUUAUGGAUGGACCCGCGUCGCAUUAGCUAGUUGGUGAGGUAACGGCUCACCAAGGCAACGAUGCGUAGCCGACCUGAGAGAGUGACCGGCCACACUGGGACUGAGACACGCCCCAGACGCCGCCGGGAGGCAGCAGUAGGGAAUCUUCCGCAAUGGACGAAAGUCUGACGGAGCAACGCCGCGUGAGUGAUGAAGGCUUUCGGUUCGUAAAACUCUGUUGUUAGGGAAGAACAAGUGCUAGUUGAAUAAGCUGACACCUUGACGGUACCUAACCAGAAAGCCACGGCUAACUACGUGCCAGCAGCCGCGGUAA
Molecule: ribosomal RNA, 515 nt
Filed under: uncultured bacterium
Lineage: Bacteria
Description: partial 16S ribosomal RNA
Rfam family: Bacterial small subunit ribosomal RNA
Source: RNAcentral